RNAcentral lists this ribosomal RNA (365 nucleotides) under uncultured Glomus. RNAcentral's name for it is "SSU rRNA". It matches the Rfam family "Eukaryotic small subunit ribosomal RNA", at positions 569 to 938 of the family's 1831-position model. Lineage: Eukaryota; Fungi; Glomeromycota; Glomeromycetes; Glomerales; Glomeraceae. The record is from RNAcentral.
AGCAGCCGCGGUAAUUCCAGCUCCAAUAGCGUAUAUUAAAGUUGUUGCAGUUAAAAAGCUCGUAGUUGAAUUUCGGGACCAAUUUGUUGGUCGUGCCUCGGUACGUACUGGUAUUAUUGGUUUCUCCCUUCUGAAGAACCUCGAUGCCAUUAAUUUGGUGUCGUGGGGAAUCAGGACUGUUACUUUGAAAAAAUUAGAGUGUUUAAAGCAAAGCAUACGCUUGAAUACAUUAGCAUGGAAUAAUGAAAUAGGACGUUUGAUUCUAUUUUGUUGGUUUCUAGGAUCGACGUAAUGAUUAAUAGGGAUAGUUGGGGGCAUUAGUAUUCAAUUGUCAGAGGUGAAAUUCUUGGAUUUAUUGAAGACUG